UAACCUGCUAAAUAGACCAGCCGGCUUUGGCUGGCUGCUGUCUUCUUAGAGGGACUAUCAGCGUUUAGCUGAUGGAAGUUUGAGGCAAUAACAGGUCUGUGAUGCCCUUAGAUGUUCUGGGCCGCACGCGCGCUACACUGACAGAGCCAGCGAGUAAUAACCUUUGCCGGAAGGCAUGGGUAAUCUUGUGAAACUCUGUCGUGAUGGGGAUAGAACAUUGCAAUUAUUGUUCUUCAACGAGGAAUACCUAGUAAGCGUGAUUCAUCAGAUCGCGUUGAUUACGUCCCUGCCCUUUGUACACACCGCCCGUCGCU
Molecule: ribosomal RNA, 314 nt
Filed under: uncultured fungus
Lineage: Eukaryota; Fungi
Description: SSU rRNA
Rfam family: Eukaryotic small subunit ribosomal RNA
Source: RNAcentral